Molecule: ribosomal RNA, 253 nt
Filed under: uncultured bacterium
Lineage: Bacteria
Description: partial 16S ribosomal RNA
Rfam family: Bacterial small subunit ribosomal RNA
Source: RNAcentral
UACGUAGGGUGCAAGCGUUAAUCGGAAUUACUGGGCGUAAAGCGUGCGCAGGCGGUUGUGUAAGCCAGAUGUGAAAUCCCCGGGCUCAACCUGGGAACUGCAUUUGUGACUGCACAGCUGGAGUGCGGCAGGGGGGGAUGGAAUUCCGCGUGUAGCAGUGAAAUGCGUAGAUAUGCGGAGGAACACCGAUGGCGAAGGCAAUCCCCUGGGCCUGCACUGACGCUCAUGCACGAAAGCGUGGGGAGCAAACAGG